AGAGGGUUAGAGGGUUUGUGGGUUAGAGGGUUAAGGGGUUAGAGGGUUAGGGGGUUAGGGGGUUAGCUGUAUCUUGUGUUGUCUUGGUUAGGAGGUUAGGGGGUUAGCUUUACAUUGUCUAUGGUUAGGGUUAGGGGGUUAGCUGUACCUUGUGUUGUCUAGGUUAGGGUUAGGGGGUUAGCUUUACAUUGUCUAGGUUAGGGUUAGGGGGUUAGCUGUACCUUGUGUUGUCUAGGAUAGGGGGUUAGCUGUACAUUGUCUAGGUUAGGGUUAGGGGGUUAGCUGUACCUUGUGUUGUCUAGGUUAGGGGGUUAGCUGUACCUUGUGUUGUCUAGGUUAGGGGGUUAGCUGUACCUUGUGUUGUCUAGGUUAGGAGGUUAGCUGUACCUUGUGUUGUCUAGGUUAGGGGGUUAGCUGUACCUUGUGUUGUCUAGGUUAGGGGGUUAGCUGUACCUUGUGUUGUCUAGGUUAGGGGGUUAGCUGUACCUUGUGUUGUCUAGGUUAGGGGGUUAGCUGUACCUUGUGUUGUCUAGGUUAGGGGGUUAGCUGUACCUUGUGUUGUCUAGGUUAGGAGGUUAGCUGUACCUUGUGUUGUCUAGGUUAGGGGGUUAGCUGUACCUUGUGUUGUCUAGGUUAGGGGGUUAGCUGUACCUUGUGUUGUCUAGGUUAGGAGGUUAGCUGUACCUUGUGUUGUCUAGGUUAGGGGGUUAGCUGUACCUUGUGUUGUCUAGGUUACGGGGUUAGCUGUACCUUGUGUUGUCUAGGUUAGGGGGUUAGCUGUACUUUGUGUUGUCUAGGUUAGGGGGUUAGCUGUACCUUGUGUUGUCUAGGUUACGGGGUUAGCUGUACCUUGUGUUGUCUAGGUUAGGGGGUUAGCUGUACCUUGUGUUGUCUAGGUUAGGAGGUUAGCUGUACCUUGUGUUGUCUAGGUUAGGGGGUUAGCUGUACCUUGUGUUGUCUAGGUUAGGGGGUUAGCUGUACCUUGUGUUGUCUAGGUUAGGAGGUUAGCUGUACCUUGUGUUGUCUAGGUUAGGGGGUUAGCUGUACCUUGUGUUGUCUAGGUUAGGGGGUUAGCUGUACCUUGUGUUGUCUAGGUUACGGGGUUAGCUGUACCUUGUGUUGUCUAGGUUAGGGGGUUAGCUGUACCUUGUGUUGUCUAGGUUAGGGGGUUAGCUGUACCUUGUGUUGUCUAGGUUAGGGGGUUAGCUGUACCUUGUGUUGUCUAGGUUAGGGGGUUAGCUGACCUUGUGUUGUCUAGGUUAGGGGGUUACGGGGUUAGGGG
Molecule: long non-coding RNA, 1282 nt
Organism: Oncorhynchus keta (chum salmon)
Lineage: Eukaryota; Metazoa; Chordata; Actinopteri; Salmoniformes; Salmonidae
Exons: 6
Source: RefSeq, a predicted model, not a curated record